RNAcentral lists this unclassified non-coding RNA (534 nucleotides) under Kurtzmaniella sp. NJ-2015. RNAcentral describes it as "sequence contains ITS1, 5.8S rRNA gene, ITS2". The stretch from base 177 to 330 matches the Rfam family "5.8S ribosomal RNA". The record is from RNAcentral. Lineage: Eukaryota; Fungi; Ascomycota; Pichiomycetes; Serinales; Debaryomycetaceae.
UCUUUUGCCAGCGCUUAACUGCGCGGCGAAAAACCUUACACACAGUGAUUUCUUUCUUUGAAAACAUUGCUUUGGUCUGGCGCAAGUUGGGCCAAAGGUUUAUUAAACUUCAAUUUUAUUAUUGAACUGUUAUUUUAACAUAAGUCAAUUUGUUGAUUAAAUUCAAAAAUCUUCAAAACUUUCAACAACGGAUCUCUUGGUUCUCGCAUCGAUGAAGAACGCAGCGAAUUGCGAUAAGUAAUAUGAAUUGCAGAUUUUCGUGAAUCAUCGAAUCUUUGAACGCACAUUGCGCCCUUUGGUAUUCCAAAGGGCAUGCCUGUUUGAGCGUCAUUUCUCUCUCAAAUCUUCGGAUUUGGUUUUGAGUGAUACUCUUAGUCAGACUAGGCGUUUGCUUGAAAAGUAUUGGCAAGAGUGGUACUUUAGGUGCUAAACUGUUUCAAUGUAUUAGGUUUAUCCAACUCGUUGAAUCUGUUUGGUUACUUUAGGGUGCUUAGGCUCGGCCUUACAACAACAAACAAAGUUUGACCUCAAAUC